This 253-nucleotide ribosomal RNA is filed under the name uncultured bacterium. Its description in RNAcentral is "partial 16S ribosomal RNA". It matches the Rfam family "Bacterial small subunit ribosomal RNA", at positions 524 to 776 of the family's 1533-position model. The record is from RNAcentral.
UACGGGGGGGGCAAGCGUUGUUCGGAAUUACUGGGCGUAAAGGGCUCGUAGGUGGCCAACUAAGUCAGACGUGAAAUCCCUCGGCUUAACCGGGGAACUGCGUCUGAUACGGGAUGGCUUGAGUUCGGGAGAGGGAUGCGGAAUUCCAGGUGUAGCGGUGAAAUGCGUAGAUAUCUGGAGGAACACCGGUGGCGAAGGCGGCAUCCUGGACCGACACUGACACUGAGGAGCGAAAGCCAGGGGAGCAAACGGG